This 5876-nucleotide long non-coding RNA is filed under the name Zea mays. RNAcentral describes it as "long non-coding RNA (ZMAY_LNC000227)". Lineage: Eukaryota; Viridiplantae; Streptophyta; Magnoliopsida; Poales; Poaceae. The record is from RNAcentral.
GUGGUCUACCAGAGAGGGCACAUGUGCCUCAAUUGGCCUAUAGCAUAGCGACUCAUUAUCCUUCCACCGCUGGUGGCGGGCGAUACUCGCUGCUCUGUGAAGCCAGCCUCACGCAAUGUCCGCCACUUUAGGUGUUGGGAUGCAAAGGCUUUCUCCAAGGCAUCCGAAACCCACUACACAACUUGGAAUGGGUGGUCCACAGUUUGUUGCACUAGACCCAGGCACAUGCACCACAAUUGACAUCCACACUACCUUAUUGCCCCCGCUCGGGUUACAAGCAAUCGCUACUUGCUCAGCGAGUGAGGGGGUUCAAGACUACCUAUUUAAGGUGGUGUUGUACUCUAUGAGCCGACAGUGUGGUAUUUACCAACUACAAAUAGUGUCAUGCAUGUGACUUGCUAGUUGACAAUGUCUGUUGUCGAGCUAGAUGUGGGCUAUGGAUGAAGCACAUUAGGAUAUAGUAGGCCUAUUUUGUUUUUUGUUGUUUUUGGGCCACUAUGGACUUUAUGUUGAUGUUGUGAAAUUUUUUCCUGUGUUUCCUCUUCCUACGAUGUGGAAAGUGGGUGCGUCAGAGAAGAAAGAAAGAGUAGCUAGCAUUGAUUUUACGUCAUACCAUUGAGAACACUAAUCAGAAGCAGAAGCAACAAUAUUUCAUACAUAUACAACACUUGUAAUCCAUAUAAACAACUUUCCUUUAAAAUAUAAUAUAAACCACAUGAUUUAUAUCCUGGGUCGGCUAUCUCCACAAAGGGCAAGAAAACGCACCAAGUUUGUAGUAUAGAACUAAAAGUGUCGAUUCUCACGAUUUCUUCCCGACAUAUACAAACUAGACAGUAAUCACAUAAAAUAAAGAAAUAUGUGUUAACACGAACUUAUAGCAUGUAUUUCAACAUAUAGACUAUUGAUUAUUAUGGUAGAUUAUAUAAAAUAGGGGUUCCCGAAGAAAUACAUAAAAACAAGAGCAUUAAAAUUUCCUUUUCAGAUCUGGCUAUCUAGUAAAAGGAGUUGGAGUAACUGAGUUUCCAAAUUUGUGACGUAGCUCUAUAGAAGGAAUAUAAACACGUUGGAAAAAUUCUACAAGGAAAGGUCUAAUACAAGUAGGGCUAAGAAAAACUCAAUGAGGCUUUGGUCGCAUGGUCACAAAACUUGAGACAAGAAACACGAAGACACCAAGGUAAUUAGUAUGAGAGUUUUCCAAAUUUGGUGUCUUGAUGUAGAAAAAAUAAAUAUAUGACAAACUUGUUUUUUCGCAAGGCAUGGAUAAAUAAGUGGGGGUGAGCAAUAAAUUUCAUCCUAGAUUUAGAAGGAAUAAAUAUAUCACUAAAUACGUUUUAUCAAAAUGCCAAGUUAAUCAGGUGGGAGCGAGAAACAAUUCUAGCGAGGCUAGGUUGUACUAGCCCAAAACUACAUACAACAGAGGAAAAAUGAAGAAAAUGAUGGUCUACCAAAUAGGGCGCAUGAGCCUUAAGGUGCACCUAGAGGGAAGUAGAAGAAAUAAAUAUAUAAUAGCAUAUGUUUUUCGCAAUGCAAGGUAAAGUGUAGAUGUGCUCUAACUGGGCUUAGAUUGCAGCGACACAUUAUGCAUCUACAAGGCUUGGUUGCACAUGGAAAAAGAUAGAGAGAGAAAUGUAGACGCAGGACCGGGAGAAAAACAUUCAAUGAGACAUGAUUGCACGGACAUAGAACUAGAUAUAAGACAAGAGUUAAAGAAAAAUAAAGGAACUAAAUUUUCUUCUGCACACUAAGCAUGAAUGGAGUUGUAGUAUCUGAGAUCAAAAUUUAAUUUAUUCCAAGAUGCAGAACAAAAAUGUGAUACUCGUAAUGGUUACAUAGGAACAAAAGUAGAUAAGAAAAAUAGCAAAAAGAUAGUGGUCUACCAGAGAGGGCACAUGUGCCUCAAUUGGCCUAUAGCAUAGCGACUCAUUAUCCUUCCACCGCUGGUGGCGGGCGAUACUCGCUGCUCUGUGAAGCCAGCCUCACGCAAUGUCCGCCACUUUAGGUGUUGGGAUGCAAAGGCUUUCUCCAAGGCAUCCGAAACCCACUACACAACUUGGAAUGGGUGGUCCACAGUUUGUAGCACUAGACCCAGGCACAUGCACCACAAUUGACAUCCACACUACCUUAUUGCCCCCGCUCGGGUUACAAGCAAUCGCUACUUGCUCAGCGAGUGAGGGGGUUCAAGACUACCUAUUUAAGGUGGUGUUGUACUCUAUGAGCCGACAGUGUGGUAUUUACCAACUACAAAUAGUGUCAUGCAUGUGACUUGCUAGUUGACAAUGUCUGUUGUCGAGCUAGAUGUGGGCUAUGGAUGAAGCACAUUAGGAUAUAGUAGGCCUAUUUUGUUUUUUGUUGUUUUUGGGCCACUAUGGACUUUAUGUUGAUGUUGUGAAAUUUUUUCCUGUGUUUCCUCUUCCUACGAUGUGGAAAGUGGGUGCGUCAGAGAAGAAAGAAAGAGUAGCUAGCAUUGAUUUUACGUCAUACCAUUGAGAACACUAAUCAGAAGCAGAAGCAACAAUAUUUCAUACAUAUACAACACUUGUAAUCCAUAUAAACAACUUUCCUUUAAAAUAUAAUAUAAACCACUUGAUUUAUAUCCUGGGUCGGCUAUCUCCACAAAGGGCAAGAAAACGCACCAAGUUUGUAGUAUAGAACUAAAAGUGUCGAUUCUCACGAUUUCUUCCCAACAUAUACAAACUAGACAGUAAUCACAUAAAAUAAAGAAAUAUGUGUUAACACGAACUUAUAGCAUGUAUUUCAACAUAUAGAUUGUUGAUUAUUAUGGUAGAUUAUAUAAAAUAGGGGUUCCCGAAGAAAUACAUAAAAACAAGAGCAUUAAAAGUUCCUUUUCAGAUCUGGCUAUCUAGUAAAAGGAGUUGGAGUAACUGAGUUUCCAAAUUUGUGACGUAGCUCUAUAGAAGGAAUAUAAAUACGUUGGAAAAAUUCUACAAGGAAAGGUCUAAUACAAGUAGGGCUAAGAAAAACUCAAUGAGGCUUUGGUCACAUGGUCACAAAACUUGAGACAAGAAACACGAAGACACCAAGGUAAUUAGUAUGAGAGUUUUCCAAAUUUGGUGUCUUGAUGUAGAAAAAAUAAAUAUAUGACAAACUUGUUUUUUCGCAAGGCAUGGAUAAAUAAGUGGGGGUGAACAAUAAAUUUCAUCCUAGAUUUAGAAGGAAUAAAUAUAUCACUAAAUACGUUUUUUCACAAUGCCAAGUUAAUCAGGUGGGAGCGAGAAACAAUUCUAGCGAGGCUAGUUUGUACUAGCCCAAAACUACAUACAACAGAGGAAAAAUGAAGAAAAUGAUGGUCUACCAAAUAGGGCGCAUGAGCCUUAAGGUGCACCUAGAGGGAAGUAGAAGAAAUAAAUAUAUAAUAGCAUAUGUUUUUCGCAAUGCAAGGUAAAGUGUAGAUGUGCUCUAACUGGGCUUAGAUUGCAGCGACACAUUAUGCAUCUACAAGGCUUGGUUGCACAUGGAAAAAGAUAGAGAGAGAAAUGUAGACGCAGGACCGGGAGAAAAACAUUCAAUGAGACAUGAUUGCACGGACAUAGAACUAGAUAUAAGACAAGAGUUAAAGAAAAAUAAAGGAACUAAAUUUUCUUCUACACACUCAGCAUGAAUGGAGUUGUAGUAUCUGAGAUCAAAAUUUAAUUUAUUCCAAGAUGCAGAACAAAAACGUGAUACUCGUAAUGGUUACAUAGGAACAAAAGUAGAUAAGAAAAAUAGCAAAAAGAUAGUGGUCUACCAGAGAGGGCACAUGUGCCUCAAUUGGCCUAUAGCAUAGCGACUCAUUAUCCUUCCACCGCUGGUGGCGGGCGGUACUCGCUGCUCUAUGAAGCCAGCCUCACGCAAUGUCCGCCACUUUAGGUGUUGGGAUGCAAAGGCUUUCGCCAAGGCAUCCGAAACCCACUACACAACUUGGAAUGGGUGGUCCACAGUUUGUAGCACUAGACCCAGGCACAUGCACCACAAUUGACAUCCACACUACCUUAUUGCCCCCGCUCGGGUUACAAGCAAUCGCUACUUGCUCAGCGAGUGAGGGGGUUCAAGACUACCUAUUUAAGGUGGUGUUGUACUCUAUGAGCCGACAGUGUGGUAUUUACCAACUACAAAUAGUGUCAUGCAUGUGACUUGCUAGUUGACAAUGUCUGUUGUCGAGCUAGAUGUGGGCUAUGGAUGAAGCACAUUAGGAUAUAGUAGGCCUAUUUUGUUUUUUGUUAUUUUUGGGCCACUAUGGACUUUAUGUUGAUGUUGUGAAAUUUUUUCUUGUGUUUCCUCUUCCUACGAUGUGGAAAGUGGGUGCGUCAGAGAAGAAAGAAAGAGUAGCUAGCAUUGAUUUUCCGUCAUACCAUUGAGAACACUAAUCAGAAGCAGAAGCAACAAUAUUUCAUACAUAUACAACACUUGUAAUCCAUAUAAACAACUUUCCUUUAAAAUAUAAUGUAAACCACAUGAUUUAUAUCUAGGGUCGGCUAUCUCCACAAAGGGCAAGAAAACGCUCCAAGUUUGUAGUAUAGAACUAAAAGUGUCGAUUCUCACGAUUUCUUCCCGACAUAUACAAACUAGACAGUAAUCACAUAAAAUAAAGAAAUAUGUGUUAACACGAACUUAUAGCAUGUAUUUCAACAUAUAGAUUGUUGAUUAUUAUGGUAGAUUAUAUAAAAUAGGGGUUCCCGAAGAAAUACGUAAAAACAAGAGCAUUAAAAUUUCCUUUUCAGAUCUGGCUAUCUAGUAAAAGGAGUUGGAGUAACUGAGUUUCCAAAUUUGUGACGUAGCUCUAUAGAAGGAAUAUAAAUACGUUGGAAAAAUUCUACAAGGAAAGGUCUAAUACAAGUAGGGCUAAGAAAAACUCAAUGAGGCUUUGGUCGCAUGGUCACAAAACUUGAGACAAGAAACACGAAGACACCAAGGUAAUUAGUAUGAGAGUUUUCCAAAUUUGGUGUCUUGAUGUAGAAAAAAUAAAUAUAUGACAAACUUGUUUUUUCGCAAGGCAUGGAUAAAUAAGUGGGGGUGAACAAUAAAUUCAUCCUAGAUUUAGAAGGAAUAAAUAUAUCACUAAAUACGUUUUUUCACAAUGCCAAGUUAAUCAGGUGGGAGCGAGAAACAAUUCUAGCGAGGCUAGGUUGUACUAGCCCAAAACUACAUACAACAGAGGAAAAAUGAAGAAAAUGGUGGUCUACCAAAUAGGGCGCAUGAGCCUUAAGGUGCACCUAGAGGGAAGUAGAAGAAAUAAAUAUAUAAUAGCAUAUGUUUUUCGCAAUGCAAGGUAAAGUGUAGAUGUGCUCUAACUGGGCUUAGAUUGUAGCGACACAUUAUGCAUCUACAAGGCUUGGUUGCUCAUGGAAAAAGAUAGAGACAGAAAUGUAGACGCAGGACCGGGAGAAAAACAUUCAAUGAGACGUGAUUGCACGGACAUAGAACUAGUUAUAAGACAAGAGUUAAAGAAAAAUAAAGGAACUAAAUUUUCUUCUGCACACUAAGCAUGAAUGGAGUUGUAGUAUCUGAGAUCAAAAUUUAAUUUAUUCCAAGAUGCAGAACAAAAACGUGAUACUCGUAAUGGUUACAUAGGAACAAAAGUAGAUAAGAAAAAUAGCAAAAAGAUAGUGGUCUACCAGAGAGGGCACAUGUGCCUCAAUUGGCCUAUAGCAUAGCGACUCAUUAUCCUUCCACCGCUGGUGGCGGGCGGUACUCGCUGCUCUGUGAAGCCAACCUCACGCAAUGUCCGCCACUUUAGGUGUUGGGAUGCAAAGGCUUUCGCCAAGGCAUCCGAAACCCACUACACAACUUGGAAUGGGUGGUCCACAGUUUGUAGCACUAGACCCAGGCACAUGCACCACAAUUAACAUUCACACUACCUUAUUGCCCCCGCUCGGGUU